RNAcentral lists this ribosomal RNA (419 nucleotides) under bacterium. Its description in RNAcentral is "partial 16S ribosomal RNA". It matches the Rfam family "Bacterial small subunit ribosomal RNA", at positions 355 to 776 of the family's 1533-position model. The record is from RNAcentral.
UGGGGGAUAUUGCACAAUGGGCGAAAGCCUGAUGCAGCGACGCCGCGUGGGGGAUGAAGGCCUUCGGGUUGUAAACUUCUUUUGCUCUGAACAAGGCAUGCUAAUGGGUGUGUUGAGUGUAGGGGUUGAUUAGCGCCGGCUAACUACGUGCCAGCAGCCGCGGUAAUACGUAGGGCGCGAGCGUUGUCCGGAAUUAUUGGGCGUAAAGGGCUUGUAGGUGGCUGGUUGCGUCUGUCGUGAAAGCUCAUGGCUUAACUGUGGGUUUGCGGUGGGGACGGGCUGGCUGGAGGGCAGGAGGGGGGGCGGGAAGUGCAGGUGUAGCGGGGGAAUGCGCAGAUAUCAGGAGGAAUACCGGUGGCGAAGGCGGGUCUCUGGGCUGUUACUGACACUGAGGAGCGAAAGCAUGGGGAGCGAACAGG